GAUGAACGCUAGCUACAGGCUUAACACAUGCAAGUCGAGGGGAAACGACAUCGAAAGCUUGCUUUUGAUGGGCGUCGACCGGCGCACGGGUGAGUAACGCGUAUCCAACCUGCCCACCACUUGGGGAUAACCUUGCGAAAGUAAGACUAAUACCCAAUGACGUCUCUAGAAGACAUCUGAAAGAGAUUAAAGAUUUAUCGGUGAUGGAUGGGGAUGCGUCUGAUUAGCUUGUUGGCGGGGUAACGGCCCACCAAGGCGACGAUCAGUAGGGGUUCUGAGAGGAAGGUCCCGAACAAUGGAACUGAGACACUGUCCAAACUCCUACGGGAGGCAGCAGUGAGGAAUAGUGGUCAAUGGACGAGAGUCUGAACCAGCCAAGUAGCGUGCAGGAUGACGGCCCUAUGGGUUGUAAACUGCUUUUAUAAGGGAAUAAAGUGAGUCUCGUGAGACUUUUUGCAUGUACCUUAUGAAUAAGGACCGGCUAAUUCCGUG
RNAcentral lists this ribosomal RNA (492 nucleotides) under uncultured bacterium. RNAcentral describes it as "partial 16S ribosomal RNA". It matches the Rfam family "Bacterial small subunit ribosomal RNA", at positions 28 to 507 of the family's 1533-position model. The record is from RNAcentral.